RNAcentral lists this ribosomal RNA (560 nucleotides) under uncultured archaeon. Its description in RNAcentral is "bacterial SSU rRNA". It matches the Rfam family "Archaeal small subunit ribosomal RNA", at positions 313 to 879 of the family's 1478-position model. The record is from RNAcentral.
GCGAUUCGCCCUUCGGGGUGCCCAGGCGCGAAAACUUUGCAUACACGAAAGUGUGACAGGGCUAUCCCGAGUGCCAUCCGCUGAGGAAGGCUUUUACCCAGUCUAGAAAGCUGGGGGAAUAAGGAGAGGGCAAGUCUGGUGUCAGCCGCCGCGGUAAUACCAGCUCUCCGAGUGGUGUGGAUGUUUAUUGGGCCUAAAGCAUCCGUAGCUGGCUAAGUUAGUCCCUUGUUAAAUCCACCGAAUUAAUCGUUGGAUCGCGGGGGAUACUGCUUGGCUAGGGGACGAGAGGCAGACGGUAUUUUCGGGGUAGGGGUGAAAUCCUAUAAUCCCGGGAAGACCACCAGUGGCGAAGGCUGUCUGCUAGAACGCGCCCGACGGUGAGGGAUGAAAGCUGGGGGAGCGAACCGGAUUAGAUACCCGGGUAGUCCCAGCUGUAAACGAUGCAGGCUAGGUGUUUGGACGGCCACGUGCCGUUCUAGUGCCGCAGGGAAGCUGUUAAGCCUGCCGCCUGGGGAGUACGAUCGCAAGAUUGAAACUUAAAGGAAUUGGCGGGGGAGCAC